RNAcentral lists this ribosomal RNA (577 nucleotides) under uncultured bacterium. RNAcentral's name for it is "bacterial SSU rRNA". It matches the Rfam family "Bacterial small subunit ribosomal RNA", at positions 338 to 916 of the family's 1533-position model. The record is from RNAcentral.
CCUACGGGAGGCAGCAGUGAGGAAUAUUGGACAAUGGGCGCAAGCCUGAUCCAGCCAUGCCGCGUGCAGGAAGAAGCAUCUAUGGUGUGUAAACUGCUUUUGUACAGGAAGAAACACUCCCUCGUGAGGGAGCUUGACGGUACUGUAAGAAUAAGGACCGGCUAACUCCGUGCCAGCAGCCGCGGUAAUACGGAGGGUCCGAGCGUUAUCCGGAAUCAUUGGGUUUAAAGGGUCCGUAGGCGGUUUAAUAAGUCAGUGGUGAAAUCUGGUCGCUCAACGAUCAAACGGCCAUUGAUACUGUUAGACUUGAAUUAUAAGGAAGUAACUAGAAUAUGUAGUGUAGCGGUGAAAUGCUUAGAUAUUACAUGGAAUACCAAUUGCGAAGGCAGGUUACUACUUAUGGAUUGACGCUGAUGGACGAAAGCGUGGGGAGCGAACAGGAUUAGAUACCCUGGUAGUCCACGCCGUAAACGAUGGAUACUAGCUGUUCGGAGCAAUCUGAGUGGCUAAGCGAAAGUGAUAAGUAUCCCACCUGGGGAGUACGUUCGCAAGAAUGAAACUUAAAGGAAAUUGACGG